AUUGAACGCUGGCGGCAGGCCUAACACAUGCAAGUCGAGCGGAUGAAGGGAGCUUGCUCCUGGAUUCAGCGGCGGACGGGUGAGUAAUGCCUAGGAAUCUGCCUGGUAGUGGGGGAUAACGUCCGGAAACGGGCGCUAAUACCGCAUACGUCCUGAGGGAGAAAGUGGGGGAUCUUCGGACCUCACGCUAUCAGAUGAGCCUAGGUCGGAUUAGCUAGUUGGUGGGGUAAAGGCCUACCAAGGCGACGAUCCGUAACUGGUCUGAGAGGAUGAUCAGUCACACUGGAACUGAGAAACGGUCCAGACUCCUACGGGAGGCAGCAGUGGGGAAUAUUGGACAAUGGGCGAAAGCCUGAUCCAGCCCUGCCGCGUGUGUGAAGAAGGUCUUCGGAUGGUAAAGCACUUUAAGUUGGGAGGAAGGGCAGUAAGUUAGUACCUUGCUGUUUUGACGUUACCAACAGAAUAAGCAACGGCUAACUUCGUG
This 484-nucleotide ribosomal RNA is filed under the name uncultured bacterium. RNAcentral describes it as "partial 16S ribosomal RNA". It matches the Rfam family "Bacterial small subunit ribosomal RNA", at positions 30 to 507 of the family's 1533-position model. The record is from RNAcentral.